UACGAGUGCUCCAAGCGUUAUCCGGAAUUAUUGGGCGUAAAGGGUGUGUAGGCGGUAGUGUUAGUCUUUUGUUAAAUUCUUCGGCUUAACCGGGGGCAUGCGAAAGAAACGGCACAACUAGAGGAUGCGAGAGGUGAAUGGAACUCAUGGAGUAGGGGUGAAAUCCGUUGAUAUCAUGGGGAACACCAAAUGCGAAGGCAGUUCACUGGCGCACUCCUGACGCUGAGACACGAAAGCGUAGGUAGCGAAUGGG
RNAcentral lists this ribosomal RNA (253 nucleotides) under uncultured bacterium. Its description in RNAcentral is "partial 16S ribosomal RNA". It matches the Rfam family "Bacterial small subunit ribosomal RNA", at positions 524 to 776 of the family's 1533-position model. The record is from RNAcentral.